This 1005-nucleotide long non-coding RNA is filed under the name Sorghum bicolor (sorghum). RNAcentral describes it as "long non-coding RNA (SBIC_LNC004973)". Lineage: Eukaryota; Viridiplantae; Streptophyta; Magnoliopsida; Poales; Poaceae. The record is from RNAcentral.
AGGUGUGUGUAUGGGUUUUCCUCACCUUCUCCUGAGAAAGGUUGUUUUUGAACAAAUUCUAUGUAUUCGGGGUCUAUCUCAAAACUAGAUGCUAUGAUAGGCUUUGAAGAUUUUGGUGGUUCGAGAUAUGUGCCCGUAGGUCUAUGAAAUUCAUAGAUAGACAUGUUUGAAUUCAUGAUAGACCAGAGAUCAAGGAUUAGAUAAGAAGAAAGAUUAGCAGAGAUGAGGCAAAGGAUAAAAGGAAAAUAUUUUUAUUAUUUUUUUUUAUUUUUUAGAAAAUGAUUAAGCUAGUUCGUAGUCAACUCAGCAACCGUCUCCCCGGCAACGGCGCCAAAAAUGCUUGUUGACACUUGCUAACACCACUUGAAUACUAGGUUGUCAUCCCCAGCAUGGCACUAGAGUGUACUAUGGUAUUUAUACGCACACAGAUAAUCCGCAAGCGCACGGAUACCGUUGAAGCUUUUACCCGGUUAAAGGUUUUAUCGUAUCCACAAGGAAACGAGAGAACUGAUCUACGCUCUAACUUAACCAAGAUAAGUAAAUAAGUGUAAAUAGGAAAGAUGGUAGAAUCGAAUAAGAACAAUAUUAAAGGUAAGAUAACAGUGAGUGAUAAUAUGGGAAUAGAGAGUAGAGCAAUCUAGUAUAUGGGCGAUGGUAGCAGAAUAGAGAGGAUAACUAUGGUUUCUCUACUUCAAAGGGGUAUGUCUAUUUCUGGGACGAACCACGUGAUAAGAGUACACCACAAAGGAUGCUUAUCCUUAGGCCGAUAAACCCUACCCGUCCUGCUAACGAGAGGUGGACUACAGAGGACCAACGUAACUGUCACCUACGCGGCCUACCACACGAUCCAGCUAGACAGGGGAUAUCCAUAUGUAAUCUAGGUCUAAGCACCACGCUUACACCUAUACUACAACUCCAACCUAUAGCGUCCUAUAGAUUAGAAGUACUCAAAAGAGUUGUGAACCAGAACAUACAUGAUUAGUAAUUGCAUAAUGAAUUAGAAGU